This is a long non-coding RNA of Seriola aureovittata, 422 nucleotides long. RefSeq lists it as uncharacterized. NCBI's taxonomy places the organism in Eukaryota, Metazoa, Chordata, Actinopteri, Carangiformes, Carangidae. The record is from RefSeq and is a predicted model, not a curated record. The transcript is spliced from 3 exons.
ACCAGGUUCCCUCAACUGUUCCAAACAUUUUACUGUGACGCGGCCACUUCAGGGACUUCUUCAAAAACCGCGUACAGUUCGACGCCGGAUUUUCGCAACGGCAGUUUCUGAAGGAAGGGGCGACUCGGGCUCUCAAUAUUGUCCUCCAGUCCCUGUGACCUUCUGCCCUCGCGAACACAUUAGCAAGCUCCCAGAGCGUUCUGAGCUUAAUGUUCAGACUGAAGGACAAUAGUCUUUCCACCAGAUGUUGAACCUGCUGCAGGGAUUUUGCUCCCAUUCAGACACACUGAUGUUGGGUAAAAAGGUCUGGCUCACAGUCACUCUUCCAGUUCAUCCCAGUGGCCUCAGGUCAGAUCUCUGUGCAGACCAGUAAAGUUCUUCCUCACCAAACUGGGAAAAGCAUUUCUUUAUGGAGCUGGUUU